GACGAACGCUGGCGGCGUGCUUAACACAUGCAAGUCGAACGAUGAAGCUGGAGCUUGCUCCGGUGGAUUAGUGGCGAACGGGUGAGUAACACGUGAGCAAUCUGCCCUUGACUCUGGGAUAACUGCGGGAAACUGUAGCUAAUACCGGAUACGAGGCUCAAAGGCAUCUUCGGGUCUGGAAAGAAUUUCGGUCAAGGAUGAGCUCGCGGCCUAUCAGCUUGUUGGUGAGGUAAUGGCUCACCAAGGCGACGACGGGUAGCCGGCCUGAGAGGGUGACCGGCCACACUGGGACUGAGACACGGCCCAGACUCCUACGGGAGGCAGCAGUGGGGAAUAUUGCACAAUGGGCGAAAGCCUGAUGCAGCAACGUCGCGUGAGGGAUGAAGGCCUUCGGGUUGUAAACCUCUUUUAGCAGGGAAGAAGCGAAAGUGACGGUACCUGCAGAAAAAGCACCGGCUAACUACGAGCCAGCCGCCGCAGUAA
RNAcentral lists this ribosomal RNA (483 nucleotides) under uncultured bacterium. RNAcentral describes it as "partial 16S ribosomal RNA". It matches the Rfam family "Bacterial small subunit ribosomal RNA", at positions 28 to 523 of the family's 1533-position model. The record is from RNAcentral.